Molecule: small RNA, 73 nt
Filed under: Sphingomonas jatrophae
Lineage: Bacteria; Pseudomonadati; Pseudomonadota; Alphaproteobacteria; Sphingomonadales; Sphingomonadaceae
Description: Makes More Granules Regulator RNA (mmgR)
Rfam family: Makes More Granules Regulator RNA (mmgR)
About the family: SuhB later renamed mmgR (makes more granules regulator) was a putative non-coding RNA found multiple times in the Agrobacterium tumefaciens genome and related alpha-proteobacteria. Other non-coding RNAs uncovered in the same analysis include: speF, ybhL, metA, and serC.
Source: Rfam by way of RNAcentral
CGCUCCUGCCUUUCAGGCAUCCUCUCCUAGACUUUCGGGCUGGCUCUCGGGCUGGCCCUUUUUUUUUUGCGCG